This 489-nucleotide ribosomal RNA is filed under the name uncultured soil bacterium. RNAcentral's name for it is "bacterial SSU rRNA". It matches the Rfam family "Bacterial small subunit ribosomal RNA", at positions 26 to 517 of the family's 1533-position model. The record is from RNAcentral.
AGAUUGAACGCUGGCGGAAUGCUUUACACAUGCAAGUCGAGCGGCAGCGCGGGGCAACCUGGCGGCGAGCGGCGAACGGGUGAGUAAUGCAUCGGAACAUGUCCAUGUCGUGGGGGAUAGCCCGGCGAAAGCCGGAUUAAUACCGCAUACGCCCGAGAGGGGAAAGUGGGGGACCGCAAGGCCUCACGCGAUUGGGUUGGCCGAUGUCCGAUUAGCUAGUUGGCGGGGUAAGAGCCCACCAAGGCGAUGAUCGGUAGCUGGUCUGAGAGGAUGAUCAGCCACACUGGGACUGAGACACGGCCCAGACUCCUACGGGAGGCAGCAGUGGGGAAUUUUGGACAAUGGGGGCAACCCUGAUCCAGCCAUUCCGCGUGAGUGAAGAAGGCCUUGGUGUAAGCUCUUUGUCCGGAACGAAACGGUUACGUGUAAUAUCGUGACCUGCUGACGGUACGGAAGAAUAAGCACCGGCUAACUACGUGCCAGCAGCCG